This 73-nucleotide transfer RNA is filed under the name Candidatus Alectryocaccobium stercorigallinarum. RNAcentral describes it as "tRNA-Ala". It matches the Rfam family "tRNA". Rfam says of the family: Transfer RNA (tRNA) molecules are approximately 80 nucleotides in length. The record is from RNAcentral. Lineage: Bacteria; Bacillati; Bacillota; Clostridia; Eubacteriales.
GGGGCAUUAGCGCAGUUGGGAGCGCGCUACAUUCGCAUUGUAGAGGCCAGGGGUUCGAAUCCCCUAUGCUCCA